Molecule: long non-coding RNA, 2427 nt
Organism: Manis pentadactyla (Chinese pangolin)
Lineage: Eukaryota; Metazoa; Chordata; Mammalia; Pholidota; Manidae
Exons: 2
Source: RefSeq, a predicted model, not a curated record
CUCAGAAUAGCAGUUUCUUGGUUUGGGAGCAUUAUCAGUCAAGGCUGCUUGUUUUGCUUUCAAGGUGAGCUGAGUUACUGACUUGAUUAGGGCUGGAGGAGGAAAAGCAGCAUCUGGGUAAAGUUAAAGAUAAACUGGGCCUCUUGGCAGGCUAAAGUAAAUUUUACAAUAGCCUCAUUUAAUUGACACAAACAAGACAUGGGCUAUGCUGAGGUAUUUUCUUAUCUGGGGGAUGUUCAAACAUUCCAGGCUAAGUUACUCCUGGCUUUUUAGUUUUAGCUAACCUUCACUGAAGAAUGCUUAUAUUCCUAGUUUGAUAUUUUACUUUAGAGAAUUAAUGUAACUCUGACUUUGCUUAAUUGUUUAAUAUGGAGUUUUGGCAGGGGUCUUUUUCCAGAGGCCCUCACCCUACUCUGACUACACCCACGGUCCCUGUCUCACUUCUGCCACUUCUCUUCAAUAUUUUACUGGCUGCUCUAGGCAAUAAAAAAGGCGAGAAGCAAGAACUAAGUAAGACAGUUAUUAUUCAUAGACAACACCUGAAUCUAUAAGAGGACCCUAUAAAAAGAACCUAGAGAAAAGCUACUUGAAUUAAGAAGUGAGUUUAGCGAAGUAACAAGAUCAGUAUGCUAACGUCUCAGUAAUUUCUAAAUAGCAGCUACAAACAAUUAAAAAUGGAAAUUUAGAAGUACAGCAUCACACAGUACACUACAAAAAACUGGGAAAGAAGUACACCAUCACUGUCCCCACUCCACAGCUACAGAACUGUAUGGCUCUGACGUUUUGAAGCAGAUCGCUGGGGAACUUCCUCUCAGAGGAAACGACUGCAUUCGCAAUGGAGUGUGGAGAAGGUCAUGCCUAGGGGCACUUUCAAGACAGCAGAGGCUGCAGUAAAAGGCAACUGGUGGGAGAUUGGUGGAAUUAUUGGACAAAGUGAGACAGGGACCAUGGGUGUAGUCAGAGUAGGGUGAGGGCCUCCAGGGAAAAGCAGAGAGGAAUAUUUACAGUCAGAGCAAAGUAAUGCGCAAAGAAGUCCCCACUGAAACUCUGUUAAGCAUUAUGCAAAGUCAAAGUCACACUAAUUCUCUCGGGAAAGAUACCUAAGAAUAUAGACAUCUUCAGUGAGAUCAGCUAAAGGUCAAAAGGCCAGAAGCAACUUGGCCUAGAAUGUCUGAGUGUUCUGCAAGGGUAUCAGCAUAACCCGUGACUCCUCUGUCAGCCCUAACAAUCAGACUUUGACCCAGCCCACCUUGAGGGCAGGUGAUGCAAGUCCACACCCCUAAGUUUUUUUCAUGUUCUCGAAAAAUCCUCAACUGCCUAUAAAACCCCCUAGACAAUGCACCACUACGUGCUCUCUUGUCCCCUCCUGGCAUGAGCCAGGGGCUCUAUUCUCUCACUUUAUUUCUAAAUAAAAGCCUGCACCUUGCUCUCCUACCUUGAGUGUCUGUGAAGCUCAUUCUUCGGCUACAUGAACAAGAACCCCGGCAUCAUCUUUGGGGGCUCAUCCGGGAUAACUUUGGAGGGUUCCCAGCAGCCUUACCAGGUGAGUAAGGAAGGUCACUUCCUGACAAGUGCAGGAACCUCAGGAUGUCUUGAGGACCUCGAGAAGAUAGGAAUUCACCCAAAUCUACAAGUACUGCAGACAAAACCUGAAGGCAAGUCUGGCUUAGCUGUCUGGCCUCAAGAGGCCUUUAAAAGUUCAAUCUGAAAUUCCUUACAAAAAGUUCCAGCAAAGCACAUUGAAAAGAGCCUAUGUAAUCAAUUGCUCUUCUUGCUGCACUUAUGCAAAUAAUAAAGCCAAGUGUUAAUUAUUUUCUUAACCUGGUUACUACUAAUAAAAAUGAGGGUGAUUUUAGAGAAAAGUAUUGUUUCAAUAAUGCAGCCUUAUCCAUACUAAAUCCUAAUACUAGUCAUUGGGACAUAAACUAGAUCCAGAAUUCUAGCUUCUUCAAAAUAUCUGGCUAUGAUUUUCCAGAUGUUUUAGUUUUCUCCUAUCAUUUCAAUUAAAGUUUUACUAUUUCUAGUUCUCGUAUUCAACCAUGUAUUCUUAAUCUCAUCAAGUAUGUCCUUCCAGAAUGGAAAAUCCAACUCCAGAUAUUGCUACUUAACCUAAUAACACAAUUUGUUCUAUCUUGCCUAGAAGCCAUAAAACUGCAAAUAAAAGUAACAGAAAUGGAACCUGGAAUAGAAGCGCCCAUCUUCCGAGGCCCUCUCAACUGACCACUGAUGGAGACCUAACUGCACCCUUUAUGUGCCCCUUCUCAGCAUGAAGCAGCCAGAGCGGUCAUCGCCCCCUUUCCCUAGCAGCAGCUAGGGUCUCCAUCUGUAGAGGGGGGAAUGAGACAGGGACCAGGGGUGUAGUCAGAGAAGGGUGAGGGCCUCCGGGAAAAGCAGGGUGGAAUAUUUACAGUCAGAGCAAUAUAACAA